UUCUUAUCAAGAGAGGGGGAGGGACUGGCCCAGUGAACCCUCAGCAACCUGGCGGAAGCCAAGGUGCUAAAUCCAGACAGGCGAAAGCGCCUGGAAGAUAAGAA
Molecule: non-coding RNA, 104 nt
Filed under: Parageobacillus caldoxylosilyticus
Lineage: Bacteria; Bacillati; Bacillota; Bacilli; Caryophanales; Anoxybacillaceae
Also listed under: 1 other name
Description: Geobacillus caldoxylosilyticus SAM-I sequence
Rfam family: SAM riboswitch aptamer (S box leader)
About the family: The SAM riboswitch is found upstream of a number of genes which code for proteins involved in methionine or cysteine biosynthesis in Gram-positive bacteria.
Source: RNAcentral